This is a long non-coding RNA of Etheostoma spectabile (orangethroat darter), 203 nucleotides long. RefSeq lists it as uncharacterized. The record is from RefSeq and is a predicted model, not a curated record. NCBI's taxonomy places the organism in Eukaryota, Metazoa, Chordata, Actinopteri, Perciformes, Percidae. The transcript has 2 exons.
GAAGUAAUAGAUUACUCUGGUACAUCAGGUAGUAAUAGAUUACUCUGGCUCAUCAGGUAGUAAUAGAUUACUCUGGCUCAUCAGGUAGUAAUAGAUUACUCUGGUUCAUCAGGUAGUAAUAGAUUACUCUGGUUCAUCAGGUAGUAAUAGAUUACUCUGGCUCAUCAGGUAGUAAUAGAUUACUCUGGCUCAUCAGGUAGUAA